This 915-nucleotide ribosomal RNA is filed under the name uncultured bacterium. Its description in RNAcentral is "bacterial SSU rRNA". It matches the Rfam family "Bacterial small subunit ribosomal RNA", at positions 28 to 916 of the family's 1533-position model. The record is from RNAcentral.
AAUGAACGCUGGCUGCGUGCCUAACACAUGCAAGUCGAGCGAGAAAUCCCAAGCUUGCUUGGGAGAGUAAAGCGGCGCACGGGUGAGUAACGCGUGGGUAACCUGCCCUGGAGUGGGGAAUAACCCGCCGAAAGGCGGACUAAUACCGCAUACGACCUUUGGGCACAAGUUCAAAGGGGAAAGAUGGCCUCUUUUUAAAAGCUAUCGCUCUAGGAUGGGCCCGCGUUGGAUUAGCUAGUUGGUGAGGUAAUGGCUCACCAAGGCUGCGAUCCAUAGCUGGUUUGAGAGGACGACCAGCCACACUGGAACUGAAACACGGUCCAGACUCCUACGGGAGGCAGCAGUGAGGAAUAUUGCGCAAUGGGGGAAACCCUGACGCAGCGACGCAGCGUGGGUGAAGAAGGCCUUCGGGUUGUAAAGCCCUGUCAGAGGGGAAGAAAGGGGAUAUAGUCAAUACCCGUAUCCAUUGACGGUACCCUCUGAGGAAGCACCGGCUAACUCCGUGCCAGCAGCCGCGGUAAUACGGAGGGUGCAAGUGUUGUUCGGAAUUACUGGGCGUAGAGAGCACGUAGGCGGAUAGGUAAGUCAGGUGUGAAAGCCCGGGGCUCAACCCCGGAAUUGCACUUGAAACUGCCUGUCUUGAGUGUGGUAGAGGGGAGUGGAAUUCCCGGUGUAGAGGUGAAAUUCGUAGAUAUCGGGAGGAACAUCAGUGGCGAAGGCGACUCCCUGGGCCAUUACUGACGCUGAGGUGCGAAAGCGUGGGUAGCAAACAGGAUUAGAUACCCUGGUAGUCCACGCCGUAAACGAUGAGUACUAGGUGUGGGGGGUAUAAACUCCCCCUGUGUCGUAGUUAACGCGUUAAGUACUCCGCCUGGGAAGUACGGCCGCAAGGCUAAAACUCAAAGGAAUUGACGG